RNAcentral lists this ribosomal RNA (220 nucleotides) under uncultured bacterium. Its description in RNAcentral is "partial 16S ribosomal RNA". It matches the Rfam family "Bacterial small subunit ribosomal RNA", at positions 111 to 334 of the family's 1533-position model. The record is from RNAcentral.
UAAUGUAUCGGAACGUGCCCAGUCGUGGGGGAUAACUGCUCGAAAGAGCAGCUAAUACCGCACACGACCUGAGGGUGAAAGCGGGGGAUCGCAAGACCUCGCGCGAUUGGAGCGGCCGAUAUCAGAUUAGGUAGUUGGUGAGGUAAAGGCUCACCAAGCCGACGAUCUGUAGCUGGUCUGAGAGGACGACCAGCCACACUGGGACUGAGACACGGCCCAG